RNAcentral lists this ribosomal RNA (457 nucleotides) under uncultured bacterium. RNAcentral's name for it is "bacterial SSU rRNA". It matches the Rfam family "Bacterial small subunit ribosomal RNA", at positions 340 to 786 of the family's 1533-position model. The record is from RNAcentral.
UACGGGAGGUAGCAGUGGGGAAUAUUGCACAAUGGGCGAAAGCCUGAUGCAGCUAUGCCGCGUGUAUGAAGAAGGCCUUAGGGUUGUAAAGUACUUUCAUCGGGGAGGAAAAAACAAAACUAAUAAUUUUAUUUCUUGACGUUACCCGAAAAAGAAGCACCGGCUAACUCCGUGCCAGCAGCCGCGGUAAUACGGAGGGUGCUAGCGUUAAUCAGAAUUACUGGGCGUAAAGAGCACGUAGGUGGUUUUUUUAAAGUCAGAUGUGAAAUCCCUGGGCUUAACCUAGGAACUGCAUUUUGAAACUGAAAUACUAGAGUAUCGUAGAGGGAGGUAGAAUUCUAGGUGUAGCGGUGAAAUGCGUAGAUAUCUGGAGGAAUACCUGUGGCGAAAGCGGCCUCCUAAACGAAUACUGACACUGAGGUGCGAAAGCGUGGGGAGCAAACAGGGAUUAGAUACC